RNAcentral lists this ribosomal RNA (518 nucleotides) under uncultured bacterium. Its description in RNAcentral is "bacterial SSU rRNA". It matches the Rfam family "Bacterial small subunit ribosomal RNA", at positions 345 to 879 of the family's 1533-position model. The record is from RNAcentral.
GAGGCAGCAGUGGGGAAUUUUGGACAAUGGGCGAAAGCCUGAUCCAGCAAUGCCGCGUGCGUGAUGACGGUCUUCGGAUUGUAAAGCUCUGUCCUCAGGGACGAUAAUGACGGUACCUGAGGAGGAAGCCACGGCUAACUACGUGCCAGCAGCCGCAGUAAUACGUAGGUGGCAAGCGUUGUCCGGAUUUACUGGGCGUAAAGGGAGCGUAGGUGGAUAUUUAAGUGGGAUGUGAAAUACUCGGGCUUAACCUGGGUGCUGCAUUCCAAACUGGAUAUCCAGAGUGCAGGAGAGGAAAGUAGAAUUCCUAGUGUAGCGGUGAAAUGCGUAGAGAUUAGGAAGAAUACCAGUGGCGAAGGCGACUUUCUGGACUGUAACUGACACUGAGGCUCGAAAGCGUGGGGAGCAAACAGGAUUAGAUACCCUAGUAGUCCACGCCGUAAAUGAUGAAUACUAGGUGUAGGGGUUGUCAUGACCUCUGUGCCGCCGCUAAUCGCAUUAAGUAUUCCGCCUGGGGA